Molecule: transfer RNA, 74 nt
Filed under: bacterium
Lineage: Bacteria
Also listed under: 2 other names
Description: tRNA-Pro
Rfam family: tRNA
About the family: Transfer RNA (tRNA) molecules are approximately 80 nucleotides in length. Their secondary structure includes four short double-helical elements and three loops (D, anti-codon, and T loops). Further hydrogen bonds mediate the characteristic L-shaped molecular structure. tRNAs have two regions of fundamental functional importance: the anti-codon, which is responsible for specific mRNA codon recognition, and the 3' end, to which the tRNAs corresponding amino acid is attached (by aminoacyl-tRNA synthetases). tRNAs cope with the degeneracy of the genetic code in two manners: having more than one tRNA (with a specific anti-codon) for a particular amino acid; and 'wobble' base-pairing, i.e. permitting non-standard base-pairing at the 3rd anti-codon position.
Source: RNAcentral
GGGGGCGUAGCGCAGGCCGGUAGCGCGUCUGCUUUGGGAGCAGAAGGUCGGAGGUUCGAGUCCUCUCGCCCCCA